AGCUUCAGUAGCGUAUAUUAAAGUUGUUGCAGUUAAAAAGCUCGUAGUCGCAUUUCUGGCGAGAGGAUCCGGUCCGACCUUUUGGUGGGUUCUUGGGUCUCUUUCGCCAUCCUUGAGUGGUCCGUUCUGGCAUUAGGUUGUCGGAGCGUCAGCCGCUCAUCGUUUACUGUGAGAAAAUUAGAGUGUUCAAAGCAGGCUUAUGCCGUUGAAUAUAUUAGCAUGGAAUAAUAAGAUAGGACCUCGGUACUAUUUUGUUGGUUUGCGCUCCAAGGUAAUGAUUAACAGGGACAGUUGGGGGUAUUUGUAUUUCGUUGUCAGAGGUGAAAUUCUUAGAUUUACGAAAGACAAACUACUGCGAAAGCAUUUACCAAGGAUGUUUUCA
This 382-nucleotide ribosomal RNA is filed under the name uncultured marine Chaetocerotaceae. Its description in RNAcentral is "SSU rRNA". It matches the Rfam family "Eukaryotic small subunit ribosomal RNA", at positions 587 to 972 of the family's 1831-position model. Lineage: Eukaryota; Bacillariophyta; Thalassiosirophyceae; Chaetocerotales; Chaetocerotaceae. The record is from RNAcentral.